RNAcentral lists this ribosomal RNA (378 nucleotides) under uncultured eukaryote. RNAcentral describes it as "partial 18S ribosomal RNA". It matches the Rfam family "Eukaryotic small subunit ribosomal RNA", at positions 592 to 976 of the family's 1831-position model. The record is from RNAcentral.
CAAUAGCGUAUAUUUAAGUUGUUGCAGUUAAAAAGCUCGUAGUUGGAUUUCGGGUGGGACGCAGCGGUCUCGCAUUGCGUUUGUACUGCUGCAGCCCUCCUUCUUGCCGGGGGCGGCCUCUCGGACUUCACUGUCUGGGGGUCAGAAUCGGCGAUGUUACUUUGAGUAAAUUAGAGUGUUCAAAGCAAGCUUACGCUCUGAAUAUAAUAGCAUGGGAUAACACGACAGGACUCUGGCCUAUCGUGUUGGUCUAUAGGACCAGAGUAAUGAUUAAGGGGGACAGUCGGGGGCAUUCGUAUUCCGUUGUCAGAGGUGAAAUUCUUGGAUUUACGGAAGACGAACAUCUGCGAAAGCAUUUGCCAAGGAUGUUUNCAUUGA